This 189-nucleotide non-coding RNA is filed under the name Halalkalibacterium halodurans. RNAcentral's name for it is "6S RNA". It matches the Rfam family "6S / SsrS RNA". From Rfam's summary of the family: E. coli 6S RNA was the first non coding RNA to be sequenced, but its function was unknown until recently. It consists of 184 nucleotides that fold into an extended hairpin structure with a large single-stranded internal bulge. RNAcentral also lists the same sequence under 1 other name. The record is from RNAcentral. Lineage: Bacteria; Bacillati; Bacillota; Bacilli; Caryophanales; Bacillaceae.
AGAGUCCUGAGGUGUACGUGCAUAACUGUACGUUUUGAGCCAACACUUUUGAAUAAGGGAGCUUGUUGUCUCCUCAUGGAUUACAUGCCCUUUCUCAUAGAUGAGGGACGUAAGAAGUGAUGAGCAGAGCACCCACCUGCCGAGGGCAGGUUCAAAACCAAAGUUUUCGACGGCACAUUUGGGACUCUU